AGUGAACGCUGGCGGUAGGCCUAACACAUGCAAGUCGAACGGCAGCACAGUAAGAGCUUGCUCUUACGGGUGGCGAGUGGCGGACGGGUGAGGAAUACAUCGGAAUCUACUUUUUCGUGGGGGAUAACGUAGGGAAACUUACGCUAAUACCGCAUACGACCUACGGGUGAAAGCAGGGGAUCUUCGGACCUUGCGCGAUUGAAUGAGCCGAUGUCGGAUUAGCUAGUUGGCGGGGUAAAGGCCCACCAAGGCGACGAUCCGUAGCUGGUCUGAGAGGAUGAUCAGCCACACUGGAACUGAGACACGGUCCAGACUCCUACGGGAGGCAGCAGUGGGGAAUAUUGGACAAUGGGCGCAAGCCUGAUCCAGCCAUACCGCGUGGGUGAAGAAGGCCUCCGGGUUGUAAAGCCCUUUUGUUGGGAAAGAAAAGCAGCAGGUUAAUACCCCGCUAUUCUGACGGUACCCAAAGAAUAAGCACCGGCUAACUUCGUG
This 492-nucleotide ribosomal RNA is filed under the name uncultured bacterium. RNAcentral's name for it is "partial 16S ribosomal RNA". It matches the Rfam family "Bacterial small subunit ribosomal RNA", at positions 29 to 507 of the family's 1533-position model. The record is from RNAcentral.